AUACCUUUCUCGGCCUUUUGGCUAAGAUCAAGUGUAGUAUCUGUUCUUAUCAGUUUAAUAUCUGAUACGUGGACUAAUGGUUCACACGAUAUUAAAUUAAUUUUUUUAGGGAGGGAGUCUGCUACGUUAGCUUGCUAAUGGGACUCUUGAGUGUCGCCCAAGCGUUGCACUAUUGCUCGGGCUGGCGCAUCCCAC
Malus domestica (apple) is the source of this 195-nucleotide small nuclear RNA. RefSeq annotates it as U2 spliceosomal RNA. NCBI's taxonomy places the organism in Eukaryota, Viridiplantae, Streptophyta, Magnoliopsida, Rosales, Rosaceae. The record is from RefSeq and is a predicted model, not a curated record.